AGUGAACGCUGGCGGUAGGCCUAACACAUGCAAGUCGAACGGCAGCACAGUAAGAGCUUGCUCUUACGGGUGGCGAGUGGCGGACGGGUGAGGAAUACAUCGGAAUCUACUUUUUCGUGGGGGAUAACGUAGGGAAACUUACGCUAAUACCGCAUACGACCUACGGGUGAAAGCAGGGGAUCUUCGGACCUUGCGCGAUUGAAUGAGCCGAUGUCGGAUUAGCUAGUUGGCGGGGUAAAGGCCCACCAAGGCGACGAUCCGUAGCUGGUCUGAGAGGAUGAUCAGCCACACGGGAACUGAGACACGGUCCAGACUCCUACGGGAGGCAGCAGUGGGGAAUAUUGGACAAUGGGCGCGAGCAUGAUCCAGCCAUACCGCGUGGGUGAAGAAGGCCUUCGGGUUGUAAAGCCCUUUUGUUGGGAAAGAAAAGCAGCAGGUUAAUACCCCGCUGUUCUGACGGUACCCAAAGAAUAAGCACCGGCUAACUUCGUG
This 492-nucleotide ribosomal RNA is filed under the name uncultured bacterium. Its description in RNAcentral is "partial 16S ribosomal RNA". It matches the Rfam family "Bacterial small subunit ribosomal RNA", at positions 29 to 507 of the family's 1533-position model. The record is from RNAcentral.